This 253-nucleotide ribosomal RNA is filed under the name uncultured prokaryote. RNAcentral's name for it is "partial 16S ribosomal RNA". It matches the Rfam family "Bacterial small subunit ribosomal RNA", at positions 525 to 777 of the family's 1533-position model. The record is from RNAcentral.
ACGGAGGGGGCUAGUGUUGUUCGGAAUUACUGGGCGUAAAGGGCGCGCAGGCGGCUUGGCAAGUCGAGUGUGAAAUCCCUUGGCUUAACUAAGGAAUGGCGCUCGAAACUACCUCGCUAGAGGACGGGAGAGGGAAGUGGAACUCUCGGUGUAGGGGUGAAAUGCGUAGAUAUCUGGAGGAACACCGGUGGCGAAGGCGGCAUCCUGGACCAUUACUGACGCUGAUGAGCGAAAGCCAGGGGAGCAAACGGGA